CUUCUCAACUUCUAUCUGUUAUGUUAGUUAUGGCAGUUGUGUCAAUUUGCAGCCCAAUGGGUGUCACCAAAACAGGAAAUCAAUUUUCAUUUAGGACACAAUUUGUUUGGGAUAAGUGCAAAAAAAACCCCUUCAUACAUAUGAAUAGUGUAAAAUUAGUUUCUAUUUUUUUAGAAUGUGCACGUUAGCACAUAAAAUUCAAAAACUAAAUAUGAAAACUUUAUUUUGCCUUUUUAAUUUCAAUUUUGCCCCUCACACAUUAGUAUACACUAAACGGCCCGGCUCGCCCGAGAUGUGACCUGAUUAUCACCGAAAACUUUGCCGGAAUCGGAUUUUCGUCGAAAAAAACGAGUGGGGCACGUGACAGAGCGUGGCGUGAGAUCUACGCGCUAUAUUUCAGGUGGCGCGUGCAAACGCGUGUAACGUUGUUUGUGGCUUUUAUUUACAGCGUUGUGUUCGUCUUGAUCUCGUGGAUCUUAUUCUGCGAUUAAUAUGUGAUUUUGAUCACCUUUAAUUUAUGCUUUGCUGGCUCUCUGUAAAGUUCCAUCAAAGCUCAAGAACCCAAGAGAUCCAUCAAUAACAAGCCCUAAAAGCAACCAUACCAAUAGAAUCAAAGCUCAGUUGUCGACUAUAACGGUGAUAAGGUCCUCUCUUUCUUCAAGCUUGAGCUUGGGAAUGACGUUCCUUAUCUGAGCCUCGAUCUGGUCCAUCUUAUAGUACUCACCUUCUGGAAUUGGGAUUGACCCAAAGUACUUCCUCGAACCAAAGCUCCAUCAAAACCGUCUUCCACUUCUUCAGCUUUGAUGUGGAGAAAGUGGGUUUCAGCCCAAACCCUCAAAUCGUCCUUAGAAAUACCAGGAAGCUAGAUCAAAGCAGAGGAGGUGCAGAUUACUGGAAAGUAUCUCAUAUCCCAGAGGUUCGAUUUGCAGCCUUUGUAGACGGUGAUUGGGAGGUGUACAAAAUCUGAGAAACACGGUGCAAGAGAGAUGAAGGCGAUCAUAGAUUACCUCAACUGCCCACAUUGCCUUUUCCUUUUUCCAUUUCAGGCUUUUUUUUUUUUUUUUU
This is a long non-coding RNA of Cornus florida, 1065 nucleotides long. RefSeq lists it as uncharacterized. NCBI's taxonomy places the organism in Eukaryota, Viridiplantae, Streptophyta, Magnoliopsida, Cornales, Cornaceae. The record is from RefSeq and is a predicted model, not a curated record. The transcript has 2 exons.